GGGGGGGGGUGCUAUACAUGCAAGUCGAGCGCGGGAAGCGAGUGGAUCCCUUCGGGGUGAAGCUCGUGGAACGAGCGGCGGACGGGUGAGUAACACGUGGGCAACCUGCCUGUAAGAUCGGAAUAACUCCGGGAAACCGGGGCUAAUGCCGGGUAAUACUUUCUUUCGCAUGAAGGAAAGUUGAAAGAUGGCUUCUUGCUAUCACUUACAGAUGGGCCCGCGGCGCAUUAGCUAGUUGGUGAGGUAACGGCUCACCAAGGCGACGAUGCGUAGCCGACCUGAGAGGGUGAUCGGCCACACUGGGACUGAGACACGGCCCAGACUCCUACGGGAGGCAGCAGUAGGGAAUCUUCCGCAAUGGACGAAAGUCUGACGGAGCAACGCCGCGUGAACGAUGAAGGUCUUCGGAUCGUAAAGUUCUGUUGUUAGGGAAGAACAAGUACCGUGCGAAUAGAGCGGUACCUUGACGGUACCUAACGAGGAAGCCCCGGCUAACUACGUGCCAGCAGCCGCGGUAAUACGUAGGGGGCAAGCGUUGUCCGGAAUUAUUGGGCGUAAAGCGCGCGCAGGCGGUUCCUUAAGUCUGAUGUGAAAGCCCACGGCUCAACCGUGGAGGGUCAUUGGAAACUGGGGAACUUGAGGACAGAAGAGGAGAGUGGAAUUCCACGUGUAGCGGUGAAAUGCGUAGAUAUGUGGAGGAACACCAGUGGCGAAGGCGACUCUCUGGUCUGUUUCUGACGCUGAGGUGCGAAAGCGUGGGUAGCAAACAGGAUUAGAUACCCUGGUAGUCCACGCCGUAA
This 800-nucleotide ribosomal RNA is filed under the name Halobacillus sp. JSM 101004. RNAcentral describes it as "bacterial SSU rRNA". It matches the Rfam family "Bacterial small subunit ribosomal RNA", at positions 38 to 805 of the family's 1533-position model. The record is from RNAcentral. Lineage: Bacteria; Bacillati; Bacillota; Bacilli; Caryophanales; Bacillaceae.